Small nuclear RNA from Erinaceus europaeus (western European hedgehog), 165 nucleotides. Its record names the gene U1. It matches the Rfam family "U1 spliceosomal RNA". From Rfam's summary of the family: U1 is a small nuclear RNA (snRNA) component of the spliceosome (involved in pre-mRNA splicing). Its 5' end forms complementary base pairs with the 5' splice junction, thus defining the 5' donor site of an intron. The record is from Ensembl. Lineage: Eukaryota; Metazoa; Chordata; Mammalia; Eulipotyphla; Erinaceidae.
ACACUUUCCUGGCAGGGGAGACAGCAUGAUCACAAAGGUGGUUUUCCCAGGGAAAAGUUUACUCUAUUACACUCAAGGUAUGCUGACCGCUCCCUGCGGUUUCCCCAAAUUCAGGAAACCCCGUUAUCUGUGAUAGUGAGGGACUGAAUUCACGUUCUCCUCAUA